This 686-nucleotide ribosomal RNA is filed under the name uncultured forest soil bacterium. RNAcentral's name for it is "bacterial SSU rRNA". It matches the Rfam family "Bacterial small subunit ribosomal RNA", at positions 64 to 767 of the family's 1533-position model. The record is from RNAcentral.
GAGCGGAAAGGCCCUUCGGGGUACUCGAGCGGCGAACGGGUGAGUAACACGUGAGUAAUCUGCCCCUAGCUCUGGGAUAGCUCCGGGAAACCGGGAUUAAUACCGGAUACGACUCCUUCGGACAUCUGAAGGAGUGGAAAGAUUUAUCGGCUAGGGAUGAGCUCGCGGCCUAUCAGCUUGUUGGUGGGGUAACGGCCUAUCAAGGCGACGACGGGUAGCCGGCCUGAGAGGGCGACCGGCCACACUGGGACUGAGACACGGCCCAGACUCCUACGGGAGGCAGCAGUGGGGAAUAUUGCGCAAUGGGCGAAAGCCUGACGCAGCGACGCCGCGUGGGGGAUGAAGGCCUUCGGGUUGUAAACCCCUUUCAGCAGGGACGAAGCGAAAGUGUCGGUACCUGCAGAAGAAGCGCCGGCUAACUACGUGCCAGCAGCCGCGGUAACACGUAGGGCGCAAGCGUUGUCCGGAAUUAUUGGGCGUAAAGAGCUCGUAGGCGGUCUGUUGCGUCCGCUGUGAAAACUCGGGGCUUAACCCCGAGCCUGCAGUGGAUACGGGCAGACUAGAGGUAGGUAGGGGAGAAUGGAAUUCCCGGUGUAGCGGUGAAAUGCGCAGAUAUCGGGAGGAACACCGGUGGCGAAGGCGGUUCUCUGGGCCUUACCUGACGCUGAGGAGCGAAAGCGUGGGGA